Molecule: long non-coding RNA, 119 nt
Filed under: Chinchilla lanigera (long-tailed chinchilla)
Lineage: Eukaryota; Metazoa; Chordata; Mammalia; Rodentia; Chinchillidae
Description: lncRNA (ENSCLAG00000028408.1)
Source: RNAcentral
CUACAAAUACAUCUAUUCCAUAGAUCCUCAAUAGAGAAAUCAGAGUCAAAUUUUCAGGAUUCCUAUCUCAACCUCCUGGAAGAUUUAUUGGAAGUAAAUAAAUGUGCUUGUGAAUUGAU